This 253-nucleotide ribosomal RNA is filed under the name uncultured bacterium. RNAcentral describes it as "partial 16S ribosomal RNA". It matches the Rfam family "Bacterial small subunit ribosomal RNA", at positions 524 to 776 of the family's 1533-position model. The record is from RNAcentral.
UACGUAGGGUGCAAGCGUUGCCCGGAUUUAUUGGGCGUAAAGGGCGCGUAGGCGGCUCUGCACGUCCGUUGUGAAAUCGCCCGGCUCAACUGGGCGGGGUCAGCGGAUACGGCAGAGCUUGAGCAAGCUAGGGGGCAAUGGAAUUCCCGGUGUAGUGGUGGAAUGCGUAGAUAUCGGGAGGAACACCAGUGGCGAAGGCGGGUCUCUGGGCAGUAACUGACGCUGAGGAGCGAAAGCGUGGGGAGCGAACAGG